AGUGAACGCUGGCGGUAGGCCUAACACAUGCAAGUCGAACGGCAGCACAGUAAGAGCUUGCUCUUACGGGUGGCGAGUGGCGGACGGGUGAGGAAUACAUCGGAAUCUACUUUUUCGUGGGGGAUAACGUAGGGAAACUUACGCUAAUACCGCAUAUGACCUACGGGUGAAAGCAGGGGAUCUUCGGACCUUGCGCGAUUGAAUGAGCCGAUGUCGGAUUAGCUAGUUGGCGGGGUAAAGGCCCACCAAGGCGACGAUCCGUAGCUGGUCUGAGAGGAUGAUCAGCCACACUGGAACUGAGACACGGUCCAGACUCCUACGGGAGGCAGCAGUGGGGAAUAUUGGACAAUGGGCGCAAGCCUGAUCCAGCCAUACCGCGUGGGUGAAGAAGGCCUUCGGGUUGUAAAGCCCUUUUGUUGGGAAAGAAAAGCAGCAGGUUAAUACCCCGCUGUCCUGACGGUACCCAAAGAAUAAGCACCGGCUAACUUCGUG
RNAcentral lists this ribosomal RNA (492 nucleotides) under uncultured bacterium. RNAcentral describes it as "partial 16S ribosomal RNA". It matches the Rfam family "Bacterial small subunit ribosomal RNA", at positions 29 to 507 of the family's 1533-position model. The record is from RNAcentral.